Molecule: unclassified non-coding RNA, 310 nt
Organism: Callithrix jacchus (white-tufted-ear marmoset)
Lineage: Eukaryota; Metazoa; Chordata; Mammalia; Primates; Cebidae
Rfam family: Metazoan signal recognition particle RNA
About the family: The signal recognition particle (SRP) is a universally conserved ribonucleoprotein.
Source: Ensembl
GCCAGGCGCGGUGGCGCGUGCCUCUAGUCCCAGCUACUCGGGAGGCUGAGGUGGGAGGAUCGCUUGAGCCCAGGAGUUCUGGACUCUGGAGCCCAGGAGUGCGCUAUGCUGAUCGGGUGUCCACACUAAAUUCGGCAUCAGUAUGGUGACCUCCUGGGAGUGGGGGACCACCAGGUUGUCUAAGGAGGGGUGAACCGGCCCAGGUCGGAAACGGAGCAGGUCAAAACUCCCAUGCUGAUCAGUAGUGGGAUCGCACCUGUGAAUAGCCACUGUGCUCCAGCCUGGGCAACAUAGCGAGACCCCGUCUCUA